UGAAGCUCUGCCCUUUUUAGUGUGAGUCGUAAUGCAAUGCAUGUAAAAGGGGGCAGGGUUUCAAAUGCACAAUCACAGCUAGCAUCUUGACUUUUUGACACACACACAGGUGAACACCCUGGUGCUAAGCUGAUUGGACAGCUUACAGUUAACAUAUUUUGCAAUCUGAGAAAAUGGUUUAAUGUAGAUUUUAAGAUAUGCCUGUAAAGAAAGGGGUUGAAUUUUCAGUUGCCUUGCAGAAAGAGAAGAGGGAAAGAUCAGUCCUGUACAAAACAGACAGUCCUGUUAGGCUACUUCCUACUUACUUUAUUAUUUGUUAUUUUAUUUAUUUGCUCUUUUUCUAGACAACCCUCAGCCAAAGUCUCUUGGGAAUGGGCCAAACUCAAGCAUAUUAAAACAACAAGUCCUUCAGGAAAAUAAAGUAAUAAUAAAAUUAUUAUUUUAAAUGUUCAAAAUCCAGAUUAAAGCUUUGCCCAACUACAUAUUACUAAAGUUCAGUUGAAAAAGCUUUAUGUGUAAAUAUGUAGGACGCAACAUCUGCAUGAUGACAUCAUCACUCACGUUUCAUCAUGUGCCCCCCUUUCACCCCUGCGGGUGCCAACAUCUGUCCAUAUGUCCUUAACCUUGUUUACCCAAUAGGAGAAGAAAGUCAUUUCAGUGAGUAGCCUAUGUCCAGAAGUUCUUCCAGCAUUCGCACCCUUCCCAGUCUGUUGUCCUGGAGUUCUGUUGAGCCUCCAACACCUGGAAUUCAUUGGCCAGCCUUGCACUAAAUCAUUUCUACAACUGAUCACUUUAUUCCACCCAUGGAUCCUGGGCUGGACCUUUAAUGGCAUUCAGAAGAACAUAACAAGAGCUUGGCUGAGCCUUUCCUUCUCCUUCUCCUUCCACCUUUCUAGAGUCUAGAGGUUCGGUUCUGAGCAUGGAUUAAGCAGGGCUGCGGGGGUCUGCACAUUACUAGCAGCUCGAGAAGUAUUUUAUUUGUAUACUUCAUUGUGUCUCCUUGAGCACAAGGGCAUAUAACCUUUUUCAUACUGAGAAUAGGCUGCCUUUGAGCAAGAUAUGGGGCUGCAUAGCUUCCAAGACUGGGUGCAACCUGCACUCAAAUAUGGGUAGAAUCAAGCCAAAGCUGAGCUAUUGAUUUAGUGUCCAUUUAAUUAAAAUGUUAUCCAUCAAGCAGGUAAUAUGAUUACUCCCCAGGCUUUUAACAAUUUCCCCUUUGUAACUUAUUAAAAAUUACAAUUUGUCAGGGCUUUAGGAAUCCCAUCUGAGCCUUCAAGAUCAUGGGUUGUCCAUCUGUGCUACCAGGGGACAAAACUGUUCCAUGGAAUGAGGCCACUGCUGUGGUCCAUUCUGGAUCUCAGCCAUGGCGGUCAGUUGAGGCAGUUGGUGGACCUCCUCAGUGUCCUUCCCAACCAUCUCAGUGCCACCAGCUUGUGAAAGGGAAGGGCUUGAUCUUGGUCACGGGUUGUUAAUUCUGCUGAUCGCCUAAGCCUCCCCCCUCCAAAUCACGGGUUUAGAAGAAGUGUUGGGACAAUUCGCUAGAAAGGGUUCUGUCAUGGCAUGAAUACUAAAAAAGAAGUGGAUUAAUUUUUUAAAAGUGUGUGUGAGGAGUAGUUGCUUUGUUUAAAAACACAUCUUAGGAGAAGUCAGAGCGCUGUGUGCAAAAGUGCGUCUCUGAAUGAAUGAAGCCCUGAUGUUGACCGAAUUUAGAUUAAUCAGCGACUUCCAAGCUUUUAUUUAUAGGCUGGAGCAGAGUUCUCCACUUGUUCAUAAUUUUUAUGGAUUGUUCAUAUUUUAGAGCCUUUCUCCAUGCCCAGUACCAAACUUACUGUGGACAGUUAUAUUCUCAUAAAAACUGAAAUUCUAAUGGACAACAAUAAAUUUUGCAGGAUUGAUGAAUCGCAAGCAAUGUAUUUACCAGUCUGAGGGGCUGAAUAAAAGAGUAUGUGUUCUGUGGGGCAACUUAAAUCACGGUAAAACGCUUGUCAUUUUCCUACCAAAUGGGAAAAUUCCAUUUCAGAAAUCCUAGCACAAGGCUGAGAUCUGGGAAGGAAAGGGAGAGACGUCAGACCCCAGAAGCAUUUGAUCCACUGUCCAAGGAGGGGUAUCCGCAGGAAGAGGGGGCAGUCAAAAGAGUCAAGAUGGCAGUUGCGAUGGUGCAAUCACGGCCCGGCCCCUUCUUUUACGCGAGUGCGAAUUUUUCGACCCUUCCCGCGGGGUGUCCCUGCGCCAAGGCUCCCUGGAUGCUUUCUCAACGUUCGCUUGUUCUUGUCUUUUGGAUCAUAAUAUUCCAGGUUACCAGCGAGCCAUAGCAAUAUGGCAGCGUGGUUGCUGUAGCUUGAUUUUACCAUUAUAUUCACUCUGGUUUUGCUUUAAUUUUUAUUAAUUAGAGCUGUUAAAAUUUUUAUUUCUCAACAUCACCCCCCAAAUGUCCAGCAUUUAUUUAGCCUGGAAAGAAGAAGCAAAUCCAGAAGGACUCUGGGCUUCUUUAGGAUUUUAGGAAAACUGCCAGCCGGUCUCUAGAACAAAACUUACAGUUCGGAGUACCAUCCAACGGGUGCCUGUUCUGUAGUAAAGCCCACUGAAUUCAAUGAAUUUUACUCAGAGCUAAGCACCCAACUAGUCUCCCCGCCACCUGGCAGACUCUUCAUGUUUUAUUGCUGAUCCUGAGUUGGCUGGGAAUAUGAGGAGAAUGACGUCCUCCCGUCCCGGUUUCUAGAGCAGCGUUUUAUCAACUCUUCUCCGUAACUCAGUUAAUGUCAUUUCUCAUCUAGGGAAGCCAGCAGAAAACUAAACCAGCAUAGGUUUUGCCGUCUCUGUUGCCAACCCCCAUUUAUUGUGGCUUGCAGCUAGAACGGUGUCCUCAUCCUCUUUGCCUCCUCAGUGUCCUUCCCAACAUCUCAGUGUCCCCAGCUCGGGAAAGGGAAGGGGCUGAUCCUGCAGCAACCCCCGUCUCUGUUCCUUUGGAAUGACCCCACCUGCUCUUGAAGCUGGAGCACGCAGAGCAAGGAUUUACUGACCGGCAGGCUGGGGCUGCAAGGAGGGCCGGAAGACGAUACGGGGGGAGGCGUAUCUGCGGUGGAGGACUGGCUGGAGUGACAGGCUGAGGCUUUUUAUCAGGCGAGCUGGAAGGAUCAUCCCUGAGCUGUGGAGCCGGAAGCCAGAAGGAAGACCGCCCCAGUUGGGUCUGCUGCAGCUGGAACAGCUGGAGCAGGUGCAGACAAGGGGUUACCAGGGCCAGGAAGAGGCCGGGGGAGUCGAAGAAGCCAAAGCCGGGGACGGUUGGGCAGCGCCUGGACUUUGGAGAGGCUGCGGGUGGGAGGGCAGAAGUGGUCCAGCAGGUGAGGCCGAAGAAAAGGGCCUGCAGCUUGAGCGGAGCAGCGGGCGAGGCCCCCGAGAAGGCGCCGCAGCGGAGCGUGUGGGGUGUGUGAGACUCCUGGAAGGAGGACCUGUGGAAGGGGCCCAGGGGCGGAGAUGGCUGCCAGCUGCUGAGCAAGCUGAAGUCAUAUCUGCAUGAGCCACCAACAGUUUCUGGAGGCCAGGAGCAGGUCCUGCCCCUUCUACUCACCCCCAGACCACCGCAAAUACAACCCCUGCCCAAGUUUUCCUGCUCUGGGUUGAAAGUCGUGUUCCCCGGCUGGUGCCGACUCCAGCCCCGCCGCCAGGUGUGGGGGCGGUGGGGGGGAGCCCCUCUGCCUGAAGCGGCUGGAACAGGACCAGGCGGGGCUCUGGCAGACAUUGGGGGAAAAGCCCGGUGGAAAGGGAGAUCGAUAGCUCAGGGAAGGAAAAAUAGUAACUGAAAGAGAAGAAAAGAUCCGUUUCUGCUGGGUUUCAGACCAAGGAUGCUCAGCCCACCCAGCGAGGGUCAAAGCCACCGAGAAGGACCUAAGACGGAAGCAGCGGCCGGUCUUCCUGAGGAAAAGCAGAGGAAAGAGACAUGCUUCGCCUGCAACUCCAGUCUUUGCUGGGAAAUUCUGGGAGCAGCAACAGCAACUAAAGGUGGAAAUGAAGCUCACUGUGGAUUGAUAGAGGAGGGUGUUUCAAGUUCCGUCAAAACUCAAUCAGCCAUAAGAUGGAGAGCAGCAGAGAAGGAAGUCAAGUGUUCAUCUUUGGUCAAAAGUUUGCACCAAAAAUGUGUUUAAGAGAUGUGCAUCUGAGAAAGAUCAUAACUUCUGAAACUUACAUUCUGAAAUGGCCCUCAGCUGGCGUCUGACAUCCAUCUGGCUUUCUCCGCUGAGACGUACCUGCCAGGUGCCCCACCGAGUGGAGAUAUCACCAGUCAGUCUUUCCAGGACUUGGAUGCAGAUGCGUGUGGACAACAGGCUGAAGAUGCAGAGGGUUGCCUGGAUUUUUGCAGCCCACAGAAGAUCUGCCUGAUCAAACAGAUCCCUACUGAAAGUGGCGUCAUCCUGAUGUUAUGUCAGAUGAGACCUUCCGAGUAGCAGGACUUCAUGUUUUCAACUCCUCUAGUUGGAAAUGUACUGAUUAAAGAAAAAAGAAAGGUUCUGAAUCAUUUCCAGCACACCGCAGAGAACCAAGGAUCCAAAGUAACUGACCAUCUUGUAUUUAAAGGUGACCAUUCUUAUGAGAGAUCUCUGUAAGAAUCCCAUGUCUACGUGGGAAAAAAUAUACGCAGAUGAGACGCACACUGUCUUGUUAUGCCACAGUGGCAAUGGAGGGCCACCUUCUCACUGACUGAGAACAGAACAGGACAACAAUAGGGGUUCAGAACCUCUACAGGCCAACGCAUACAGAAUCCUUUAAUCAGAGCUGGGUACUUAUGAGACCUGCCAGCUCUGUCCAACCUGAAGUUUUCUGAUGCAAGAAAUGAACUAUUCUGAUUGGAGGGCCAGAACUAGAGCUGACCCCUUCUUCCUAUCCGUGUUUCCCAACUGCUGGUAAGUUUGCAAUAGUUCCUAGUUGUUCAUUGGCAAGCUCUCUGGUUUUAUUCUCCUCGCCCUUUAAAUUUUGAAGAACGAAAGGGAGGAAAGGAGGGAGGAGGAGACAAGCUGCUGUCAAGAAAGCUGAUCUAACAGUCCACAAGCCACGUUCACGUCUUUGGCAGAUGGUAACAGGGAUGACUGCUUAGCGCUGCAUGUUUGACAUCUCCCAGAAAUAGCAAGCCAUGAUAAAAUGGUAGGCCUGUAGCCACUAUCAGCUGUUCCGGUGUCUUGGCUGAAAGUGGAAGUCACAUGCUUCGUUUCGCACCUCCCUGAUGCGAAAACGCUCUCGGGGGUGACUCACGGUGCAUCUGCUUCCCUCUGAGCCCCCCUCCUUCCUCCCCCACCCCAAUUCCCCUUCAGCCCAUAGUGGCAGUUGCCUGGUUGUGCUGCUGCUGCUGCUGUUCUCUUGUCACCAGCUUGUGUGACAGGUGAAGUGACACGGAGUCGGCAGAGUUGCAAAGAAGGUUGCUCCGGGCUUUUCCCACAUGGGGAGGUGAGGUUGCUCCAGCAGGAGGAGAGCAAAGUGGAAAAAAAAGCAUGUUCUAACAUCUGUUCGCUUCGCCACUUUUUUUGUUCAGCAGAACAACGGAACAACGGGAAGGGUGAAGGGAAGAGAAGGGACAGAGAUGGCCCAGAAGAGCAGCAGGGAGCUCUUCAGGGGGCUCCACUUCCUUCCGAGGACCCUGUCUCUGUACCUCCCAUUCAUUUCAGCAAGGUCCUACUUGCCUUAAAUGGCUAGGCUACCAGUUGUGGCCACUGCCCUGGCAACUUCAAGAAGGUGGAUGUGGGUAGGCUGGUUCAGUAUCUGGCUAAGGUCUAAGCACCUCCUGUACCCACUAAUGGACAGGCAGAUGCGGUGCAACCUUUCCAGAAUCAUAUGUAUGCUCCUGAACACGUUUAAUGUCUCACCAAUUGGCUUCAUUCUUCAAGGAGGAAUGCACACUAACCACACAUAGCAUAAAGGUCAGGUCUAUCGCCAUUCAUUUAUCUGAAGCAAUUUGUUUUUAGCCAUGCAAGGCAUGAAUCUUCCUUGAUGUGCUGGAUCCUGAGGUUCUUGAGUCUCUACACCAUCCAUUAGGGACUUCUUAGUAGAAGAGGUCAACAUCUCUCGCAAAGCCAACUAGGGGCGAAUGCCAUUUGGAGUGAGAUCAGAAACUUUUAUUUCCAGAAUAUAUUCAAGUCUAUUUCAGUCCUAGAUUCCUAGGAUUUCCCAGUAUCUACUUCAUAACUGGUCAUUGUCAACCUUUGGUUGCUUGCUGGAAGCAACCAAAACCCUUGAAAGAAGCCGGGAAACAACAUCCACAGGUCAUCAAAGAAGCAGAUACAUAAGUGGUAUUGGGAAAUGAGAAGGCCUUUGCAUAAAGACUCUCCACUGGGGUAAAAUGCAAGACUGUGGGUUCUGUGUUCUUUUUAAUACUCUACUUUCUUUCUAAUUACAUGAUGUGAUCAUCCUAGAAAGUGAUGGAAGACCCUUCAAACAAGAUAGGAAGGAGUGGGUACAGCUGAGGAAAGAGGAGCUGGAACAACUAUGAUGAUGAAACAUAAAACAUUCUGAAGAAUAAUUUAUAACAUGUAUUAUUUUUUUCUUGCCUCCCAACUCAUCACAUCCCCUCUCCUACCAAAAGGUCUUCUUCAUCUGAUAUCUAUUAAGGAAGAAAGAAAACUCAUCAACAGAAUGCCUUCACAUUCAGGAAUAAUUUGUUGAAAGCCCAUACUUCUUUGGUUCUGUUUUAUGUGUUAUCAUGAAUAAUAGCUUGCUUCCUAGGAAAUGGAUUAUCAAUCAUUCAUCCCAACCCAUUUUCAAGUUUGAGUGCUCCCCAAAUGAGUGUGAUUGUUUGGGAAGACAUGCAAUAAUUUAUUUGGAUGAUCUUCACAUAGGGCUGACAACUUGGAAGGAUCCUCACAUGUUCUUCAAGUUGGACCACAUUUGAGAACAUAGCAAGAGAGUCUGACCAAUGCCUGAUGCAAGUGGUCAGGGUGAUCUCAUGGACAUGGUUUACUUGGCCAUUCAAAGACUCCUGAACAAUCUUAGCUUAACAGAAGUCUUCUCAUGGAUCAGUAAUUGAUCAAAAACAGGAUGUGGAGAGUGGGAAGAAAUGGUCGGUUCUUACAAUAAAUGGAUGGAAACUAAUAUGCCUCAAUUAUCAGUAUUGGGAUUUGUGCUUUUAAAUUUGUUCCUGGACUUAGGGAUUAGCAUGCCAAUGGAGCUUAUUUGUUAGGAAGGUAAAAGCAAACAAACAAAACGAUGGUGAAGAGCUUCAGAAGGACAUUGCUCAAUGAAGGGUAUGGAGCAUUCGUGUGGAAAAUGAUAGAUAUUGUUUUAUAUAUUGAUGGUGGUGUGAAAAAUCCUAAUUUUGCGUAUACACUAAUGGAUGCUGAUGGAAUCAGGAAAAUGGUUCCCAAAAGUUCCUUGCAAAAUUGUGGACGGUUAAGUGAAAAUGCUGAUCUGGAGCUGUGGAAUUCCUUGCUGAGCAUCGUUAGGAAACUCAUCAAAAAUAAAACUGCCCGUAUCACACAGGAACCUAUGGUGUCACCAUGCCUCAAAAGGAUCUUCUUCAAGUUUCUAGAGAAGGAAUCCACCUUUCUUCAGACAAGUUCCAUUCAGAACAUCUGCUACCUCAUACAGGUUUUGGACCAUGGCGAUGGUGCAGCCCUCCUCCGAUGUUCAGAAAGAGUACACAUGAAUUGAAGAGCUGGAUGUUUGGGGAGAACAUUUGGAAAUAUUAUUGUUUGUGUAGUUUACUGUCUUGUUUUGAAUGCUAAUUUGCACCCUCCUGGAGAAGCUUCUUGGAGUUUGUGUGGGUUUCUUUUUAUUGUUUUCACAGAUUUGAUGCAGUUUCUGUAAAUGGCCAGGAGGCCGUGUGGAGUUCCUGCUGGAAACAAACAAGCAAAUAAAUAAAUGUUCUGCAGAUUAGAACAGAAUUAAAAGGGGGAGUGAGAGAAGAUCUACAUUGCUUGACCUUCCCACCAUAGCUCUGUUAAAAAGAAGCUUUAUACAGAUCACCUCAUGGACAAUGAUUCUCUGAGGUCUUUGCCUCAUCCUUGGAUUUUGUUUUUUAAGCUGAGCAGGUUAGGGGUUUUGCCUGGAGCAGCAGUGAGUAAGGCCAGGGCUCCAUCGUUGAGCUGCAACCUCCAUGAAGCCCAACCAGGAGCUAAAUCGUCUUUCCCCUCCUGGAGCCCACCCUUCUGCUCGCCAAUCACUCUGCUCUCCGGACCAGCCAGAGGCCCGGAGACUCUGGCAGAGAUUUGGACCAUUUCUCUGGAAGAAUCCUCUCUCUUCAUAAACUGAAAACACACCACUCUGCAUGCCUGGCUAUCACCGGAGUGAUUCAUCUGGCCCUCUCAAUGUAGCAGCCUUAUUCACCCAUCAAGACCCUGAUUUACAAUCAGAGAGACAUGCACAUCCAUUUUGUAAAGCUGCUGUGGAUUCAGUCAGUCAGCAAAUUCCUGCCUGACGCGGAUGACGGUUUUGCUUCAUUCUGGACAAGGUCCCUGAAGCAAGGUCUCAGCUUAGAAGGUUUGAAGGAUGAAGCAGCCUUGGCUUUCGCAGAAAUUCAGGAGGCAGCUGUCUCUCCAGCACCGGCUGAUAGUGCCUCCAAGUUUAGGAAGCAGCCACCAAACUUUGGAGUCCAACAGUCCAAGAAAAAAAAGGUCUCUCUCAGUGGAUGGAAACCCAGCACCUCCCAAAUUUUGCACCAGCCAUGAGUCAAGCACAGUUUUAUUUACGGGAUUUAACUUGAAUACCUCUAGAUCUCCUACUCUCAAUGGUUUACAGUAGAAAUAAGCAUAUUGGGGGGAAAUUAAAGAGAGAUGAAAGAUAGAGGCUUAUGUGACACACCUCCAAGGAGAAUUAGCCACGUGAAGAUGUUGCUUUUGUUGACGGUAAUUGAAAGUUCUCAUCUGAUACAUCCCUUUUCUGCUCAAUUAGAGGAAAUUAUACAUAAUCAUGUAUAGUGUGUGUGCAUAAUAUUCUGUCUGUCUAUGUAGUGCAGCACACUGUAUGUCUAAGAAAUUGAGAUACAAAUUGAGAUAGAAAUCAAAUCAGUUCAAAUAUCUCCAGGGUCAGAAAACUCAAGAAAGCAGCUGUGAUGGUGUGAUUGAAGCUGCACCCGCGACACACCCACGACAGACGUAAAAAAUGGGGGGUGCUUCAAUCACGCCAUCACAGAUGCCACCUUGACUUCUGAUCGCACCCUGCGGACACCCGUGGUCCCUGGAAGGUGCCCUGGAACAUAUUGUGGCUUUGCUCUGCAUCAUAGUUUGACCCUCAGGCCUUCUCCCUGUUCCAGGGAAGCCGUGGCACCGAACUAACACAAAACCGAUCCAAUUUGGCAAGGCAAACAUGCCCACAGAGCCCAAAACCUCCCUGUGCUGUUUAGGCAUUGAUUUCCAUGGAGUUCCCUAGAAAGAUGGACUUCAGAUAACUGAGCCCCAUUUCUCCAUGGCUGAGCUCUAUAAAUGGCUGCUUUGAAAUACGGACCAUCUCUGAGCAACCACUGCAUGAAUUCCCCUGUCUCUCCUUAAUUGGAGCCUUCAUCUCCUGAUCUAAUAAUAAUGCAAUCGGUACCACCAGGCAGUUUUCGAACAGUUAACUACCCAUGCCUGCCACAGUCCAUUAGCCACACAAAUUCUGCCAAACGCUCACAUUAGUUCCAUCCAGAGGAUUUUUUCAGCAUUGCUAGGAAGGGAGCAGGCUGCCCCUCUUCUGGCCUUGGCUAGGCGAGAUUCCCCAGCAGGGUCGUCUGAGUCCUGCCCAGAAUCUUCACACACAUCUUCUUCCCUCGUCCCGCUCUCCUCCGUUCCUCCUGUGCGACCAGAAACACCUUCUUCAUGGCUCAAUUCCACGAUUGGUCUGCCUUUUAAUCUGUAGAAGAAUUUAGGUUGUAUCCUUCUAAUGCCCAAGCAUUGUUUAGGCCAGCCCGUGAUUUUAAGUAAUGGAACAUGGAAACAGGACACAAGAAAAACAGAGAGAGAAUCAUUCCAACGUGCCUUUGGCUCUAGCCAUUGGAGGUACCUAUCAGAAGUGUGUUCAUAUUGUUUUGUGUGUUUCUAAUUUCUGUCUUUUGGGCUUUGCUGUUCACCACCUGGAGUCCAUCAGGGCUGAGGUGGACUACAAAUAUAAUUAAAUAAGGAAAUGCAAUAAAUAACAAAAAUAAA
Molecule: non-coding RNA, 10100 nt
Organism: Python bivittatus (Burmese python)
Lineage: Eukaryota; Metazoa; Chordata; Lepidosauria; Squamata; Pythonidae
Source: RefSeq, a predicted model, not a curated record